Molecule: ribosomal RNA, 328 nt
Filed under: Fretibacterium sp. OH1220_COT-178
Lineage: Bacteria; Thermotogati; Synergistota; Synergistia; Synergistales; Aminobacteriaceae
Description: Bacterial large subunit ribosomal RNA
Rfam family: Bacterial large subunit ribosomal RNA
Source: Rfam by way of RNAcentral
CCGAUAGAGAAGAGUACCGAGAGGGAAAGGUGAAAAGCACCCCUGGCGGGGAGUGAAAGAGACCUGAACCCGUGUGCCUACAAGCGAUCGGAGCACGACCUGCGUUUUCGGACGCAGGGGAGUGUGACGGUAUGCCUUUUGUAAAAUGAGCCGGCGAGUUAUUGUGCGUAGCGAGGUUAAGGACUUUGAGGUCUGAAGCCGCAGGGAAACCGAGUCUGAAUAGGGCGCAUUAGUUUCGUACAAUAGACCCGAAGCCCGACGAUCUAUCCAUGUCCAGGUUGAAGCCCCGGUGAAGCGGGGUGGAGGACCGAACCGAAGCCUGUUGAAA